GACGAACGCUGGCGGCGUGCUUAACACAUGCAAGUCGAACGGAAAGGCCCCUUUGGGGGUCCUCGAGUGGCGAACGGGUGAGUAACACGUGAGUAACCUGCCCUUGACUUCGGGAUAACUUCAGGAAACUGGGGCUAAUACCGGAUAGGAAUCCUUGCUGCAUGGUGGGGGUUGGAAAGCUUCGGCGGUUUUGGAUGGACUCGCGGCUUAUCAGCUUGUUGGUGGGGUAGUGGCUUACCAAGGCUUUGACGGGUAGCCGGCCUGAGAGGGCGACCGGCCACAUUGGGACUGAGAUACGGCCCAGACUCCUACGGGAGGCAGCAGUGGGGAAGAUUGCACAAUGGGCGGAGGCCUGAUGCAGCAACGCCGCGUGCGGGAUGACGGCCUUCGGGUUGUAAACCGCUUUCAGCAGGGGCGAAGCUUGUGGUGACGGUACCUGCAGAAGAAGCACCGGCUAACUACGUG
This 465-nucleotide ribosomal RNA is filed under the name uncultured bacterium. RNAcentral's name for it is "partial 16S ribosomal RNA". It matches the Rfam family "Bacterial small subunit ribosomal RNA", at positions 28 to 507 of the family's 1533-position model. The record is from RNAcentral.